Molecule: transfer RNA, 71 nt
Filed under: Loxodonta africana (African savanna elephant)
Lineage: Eukaryota; Metazoa; Chordata; Mammalia; Proboscidea; Elephantidae
Rfam family: tRNA
About the family: Transfer RNA (tRNA) molecules are approximately 80 nucleotides in length. Their secondary structure includes four short double-helical elements and three loops (D, anti-codon, and T loops).
Source: Rfam by way of RNAcentral
GCAAUGGUGGUUCAGUAGUAGAAUUGGCGCCUUCCGUCCUGGAGACCCAGAUUCAAUUCCUGGCCAGUGCA